GAUGAACGCUGGCGGCGUGCCUAAUACAUGCAAGUCGAGCGAACAGACGAGGAGCUUGCUCCUCUGACGUUAGCGGCGGACGGGUGAGUAACACGUGGAUAACCUACCUAUAAGACUGGGAUAACUUCGGGACACCGGAGCUAAUACCGGAUAAUAUAUUGAACCGCAUGGUUCAAUAGUGAAAGACGGUUUUGCUGUCACUUAUAGAUGGAUCCGCGCCGCAUUAGCUAGUUGGUAAGGUAACGGCUUACCAAGGCGACGAUGCGUAGCCGACCUGAGAGGGUGAUCGGCCACACUGGAACGGAGACACGGUCCAGACUCCUACGGGAGGCAGCAGUAGGGAAUCUUCCGCAAUGGGCGAAAGCCUGACGGAGCAACGCCGCGUGAGUGAUGAAGGUCUUCGGAUCGUAAAACUCUGUUAUUAGGGAAGAACAAAUGUGUAAGUAACUAUGCACGUCUUGACGGUACCUAAUCAGAAAGCCACGGCUAACUACGUG
This 497-nucleotide ribosomal RNA is filed under the name uncultured bacterium. Its description in RNAcentral is "partial 16S ribosomal RNA". It matches the Rfam family "Bacterial small subunit ribosomal RNA", at positions 28 to 507 of the family's 1533-position model. The record is from RNAcentral.